AUUGAACGCUGGCGGCAGGCUUAACACAUGCAAGUCGAGCGGGGGAAGGUAGCUUGCUACUGGACCUAGCGGCGGACGGGUGAGUAAUGCUUAGGAAUCUGCCUAUUAGUGGGGGACAACAUCUCGAAAGGGAUGCUAAUACCGCAUACGUCCUACGGGAGAAAGCAGGGGAUCUUCGGACCUUGCGCUAAUAGAUGAGCCUAAGUCGGAUUAGCUAGUUGGUGGGGUAAAGGCCUACCAAGGCGACGAUCUGUAGCGGGUCUGAGAGGAUGAUCCGCCACACUGGGACUGAGACACGGCCCAGACUCCUACGGGAGGCAGCAGUGGGGAAUAUUGGACAAUGGGGGGAACCCUGAUCCAGCCACGCCGCGUGUGUGAAGAAGGCCUUAUGGUUGUAAAGCACUUUAAGCGAGGAGGAGGCUACUCUAGUUAAUACCUAGGGAUAGUGGACGUUACUCGCAGAAUAAGCACCGGCUAACUCUGUGCCAGCAGCCGCAGUAA
RNAcentral lists this ribosomal RNA (501 nucleotides) under uncultured bacterium. Its description in RNAcentral is "partial 16S ribosomal RNA". It matches the Rfam family "Bacterial small subunit ribosomal RNA", at positions 30 to 523 of the family's 1533-position model. The record is from RNAcentral.